Long non-coding RNA from Drosophila eugracilis, 512 nucleotides. RefSeq lists it as uncharacterized. Lineage: Eukaryota; Metazoa; Arthropoda; Insecta; Diptera; Drosophilidae. The transcript is spliced from 2 exons. The record is from RefSeq and is a predicted model, not a curated record.
ACAUUUCAUAGUUGGGUUACAAAAUGUAAUGUAAUAAUUAAUAGAGAUUCAAUUAUCUGCAGUCCCACGCUUUGUGUAAGCGUUCGCAUUUUUUAGCUUGUGCAUUUAGCCCUACACCUGAAUUAGUCAUCACACUUCUUGCACCAAAAACAUCCGUUAAGAACUAGUACUAGUAAUCCUUUCGGUCUAAGCUAGUUGUCUACUAAAUAUCUCCCGAAAUUGUAUCGCUCAGAAUCUUUUUAUUUCAUCAUUGCACUGGAUCAUUGCAUUAUGAACUCUGUUCAAAAUAAAUUAAAAAGAAUUAGAUAUAGCUGAAUUAAAAGCUUCUAGCCAAGGUUUAAUGUAAACAUUAAAAAAAAAUUAGUCCUUAGAAUCAUGAAAUGUAUAGUAAAAUAAUGCUGAAAUCAUAGUAAGUGAAUUUAAUCCAAAAGGUUAACACUAAAGUUUGAAAAAAAUAAAAUUAUAUUCUUUUGAACAAAAAUUACCCGAAUAAAAUAAUGUGCAUCACACAA